UCCUACGGGAGGCAGCAGUGGGGAAUUUGGACAAUGGGCGAAAGCCUGAUCCAGCAAUGCCGCGUGUGUGAAGAAGGCCUUCGGGUUGUAAAGCACUUUUGUCCGGAAAGAAAUCCUUGGCUCUAAUACAGUCGGGGGAUGACGGUACCGGAAGAAUAAGCACCGGCUAACUACGUGCCAGCAGCCGCGGUAAUACGUAGGGUGCGAGCGUUAAUCGGAAUUACUGGGCGUAAAGCGUGCGCAGGCGGUUUGCUAAGACCGAUGUGAAAUCCCCGGGCUCAACCUGGGAACUGCAUUGGUGACUGGCAGGCUAGAGUAUGGCAGAGGGGGGUAGAAUUCCACGUGUAGCAGUGAAAUGCGUAGAGAUGUGGAGGAAUACCGAUGGCGAAGGCAGCCCCCUGGGCCAAUACUGACGCUCAUGCACGAAAGCGUGGGGAGCAAACAGGAUUGGAUACCCUGGUAGUCCACGCCCUAAACGAUGUCAACUAGUUGUUGGGGAUUCAUUUCCUUAGUAACGUAGCUAACGCGUGAAGUUGACCGCCUGGGGAGUACGGUCGCAAGAUUAAAACUCAAAGGAAUUGACGGGGACCCGCACAAGCGGUGGAUGAUGUGGAUUAAUUCGAUGCAACGCGAAAAACCUACCUACCCUUGACAUGGUCGGAAUCCCGCUGAGAGGUGGGAGUGCUCGAAAGAGAACCGGCGCACAGGUGCUGCAUGGCUGUCGUCAGCUCGUGUCGUGAGAUGUUGGGCUAAGUCCCGCAACGAGCGCAACCCUUGUCCUUAGUUGCUACGCAAGAGCACUCUAAGGAGACUGCCGGUGACAAACCGGGGGAAGGUGGGGAUGACGUCAAGUCCUCAUGGCCCUUAUGGGUAGGGCUUCACACGUCAUACAAUGGUCGGAACAGAGGGUUGCCAACCCGCGAGGGGGAGCUAAUCCCAGAAAACCGAUCGUAGUCCGGAUUGCACUCUGCAACUCGAGUGCAUGAAGCUGGAAUCGCUAGUAAUCGCGGAUCAGCAUGCCGCGGUGAAUACGUCCCAGGCCUUGUACACACCGC
Molecule: ribosomal RNA, 1055 nt
Filed under: uncultured Burkholderia sp.
Lineage: Bacteria; Pseudomonadati; Pseudomonadota; Betaproteobacteria; Burkholderiales; Burkholderiaceae
Description: bacterial SSU rRNA
Rfam family: Bacterial small subunit ribosomal RNA
Source: RNAcentral